UUAGAAGAAGCCAAAGUAAGAGGCAUGCCACUGUUAACGGUAUUUAGAUUUAGAUCCUUUUAAA
RNAcentral lists this transfer RNA (64 nucleotides) under Kaylathalia klovstadi. RNAcentral describes it as "tRNA-Asn". The record is from RNAcentral. Lineage: Eukaryota; Metazoa; Arthropoda; Collembola; Entomobryomorpha; Isotomidae.